This 221-nucleotide unclassified non-coding RNA is filed under the name soil metagenome. Its description in RNAcentral is "partial contains 5.8S ribosomal RNA, internal transcribed spacer 2, and large subunit ribosomal RNA". The record is from RNAcentral.
AACGAGGCCGACCUGCGGCUGAGUUACCUGCGGAGGGAUCAUUACAGAGUGUGACUCCCUGUAAAAAGGGGGGUACCUCCCGUCCUUUGCAGGCCCUUUAGGGUCUUUUACACUUUGCUUCGGUGGGGUAACCCACCGGAACACUCUCAAAAAUUCUGAUUUUAAAAUUGUUCAGUCUGAGAAUUUUGAAAAUAAAAAAAAAAACUUUUAACAAUGGAUCU